Molecule: ribosomal RNA, 506 nt
Filed under: uncultured bacterium
Lineage: Bacteria
Description: bacterial SSU rRNA
Rfam family: Bacterial small subunit ribosomal RNA
Source: RNAcentral
GGACAAAGUGACAGGUGGUGCAUGGUUGUCGUCAGCUCGUGUCGUGAGAUGUUGGGUUAAGUCCCGCAACGAGCGCAACCCUUAAGCUUAGUUGCCAGCAUUAAGUUGGGCACUCUAAGUUGACUGCCGGUGACAAACCGGAGGAAGGUGGGGAUGACGUCAAAUCAUCAUGCCCCUUAUGAUUUGGGCUACACACGUGCUACAAUGGACAAUACAAAGGGCAGCUAAACCGCGAGGUCAUGCAAAUCCCAUAAAGUUGUUCUCAGUUCGGAUUGUAGUCUGCAACUCGACUACAUGAAGCUGGAAUCGCUAGUAAUCGUAGAUCAGCAUGUUACGGUGAAUACGUUCCCGGGUCUUGUACACACCGCCCGUCACACCACGAGAGUCUGUAACACCCGAAGCCGGUGGAGUAACCAUUUAUGGAGCUAGCCGUCGAAGGUGGGACAAAUGAUUGGGGUGAAGUCGUAACAAGGUAGCCGUAUCGGAAGGUGCGGCUGGAUCACCUC